RNAcentral lists this long non-coding RNA (1171 nucleotides) under Rattus norvegicus (Norway rat). RNAcentral describes it as "long non-coding RNA NONRATT019757". The record is from RNAcentral. Lineage: Eukaryota; Metazoa; Chordata; Mammalia; Rodentia; Muridae.
ACUAACCUAUGCCCAACUCUUAGGAAAACAGAAAGAAAAGAGAGACUACUUAAGAGACAGAAGCCCAGUGAGAGAAAAUGAGAGAGGGCCAUUUUGCCAGGAAAGUUGUACAGAAACAGGAUACAGAGGGAGAACAAGCUAGACAUAGGUGUGGACAGAACAAGCUAGAGAAUGAAAAGGAGCCAGGCGAUUAGAACAUUAUUUUCAAAGUUAGUAUGAGGCUAAGCAGUGCAAUUCAGGAGAAGCUGAGAGAAACCAGAUCGAAUCAGUCAGCUUGGAGAGGAGUUUGAGCCAAAACAGCUGAGCUGAGUCAACUAUCCAGAGAUCAGAAAGAACUAGCAAGGGGUGAGCUUAUUCAGCAGCAAGUCUCAGAGACUGAAAACAUUCUAGGCCUAGAUUAGAUUGUAUGGAGGCUAGAAGUUUCCAGGACUAGGGCCUGAGUUAGAAGACAGAGGCAGCAAGCCUCAGAGAGGACAAUUUCAUCAGCAGAGUAAACGUUACUUUCAUAGGCAGUAUUGGGGAAUUUUAAAGGAUACAGCAAUGGGAUGUGAGGCCAGAAUUUUCACCUGGGUCAAAACUGAUCUGCACAUGCUUCGACUCCAUCUUCAGAACCACCAUAAACAGAGUUUGAAAGUCUCUCUCCAACUGAAACUCAGAGCCAUGCUGUACGUCACUGGAGUAGCAGGGCAGGUGGGACACUCUAGGGAUGAGACUGAACACCUGGGGGAGGGACAGGGCGUGUGCUGUGAUGGUGUGUCACAAAGAGAAGUACAGACAGAAAUUUCUAGAAGACCUCGUGUUUAUUUGCACUUUGUAAACCCCAGAGAUGAACUACAAGUCACAGUGGUGUCAGUCAUGAAGAGAUGGUUAUUGUUAAUUGUCGACUUGACAGACUCUACAGUCUCAUGAGAGGUAAACUUCUAAGCAUGCUUUCAGGGAAUUAUCCUGAUUAUGUUAAUUGAGGUGUGAAAGACCUGCCACAUCAGUGCCUGGACUGGAUCUUGAUUGUACAAACAGAGAGAAUUCCUGCAAUGGCAUGUGUAUUUUGCUCUCUGCUUCCUGAUUGCAGAUACAAUGUAAACCAGCUGUUUCAACCUUUUGCUACCUUGGCUUUCCCAGCAUGAUGGAGCAUUCCUUGGAAUUGUGAGCUCAAAUAAACCUUUUCUCCCUU